CUCUCACGACCGACUGAGAGUUUUGAACAAAUUUCUAGGAAAAGCGCAAGGAUGGGGCUGCUAUGAGCUGUCCGCCAGGGUGGUGCUGAUAUGCACAUUAUGCCACCUAGCUAUUGAGGAGCCGGGGAGUUGUCCCUGCAAUAGCCACAGUGAACUGCUGCUUGACUCCACUGCACAGCAAACAGAGGUCAAGCUCUCAUUCUCGGAAACCCGUGUUCAAGCUUCUAUCUGGGGAGAUGAGUCUGAAGUAUGGGAGUCGUGUCUAAUUCCAUGGCCUGAACAUUACCAGCAGUUAAUUCAUUGCUGUUGUUUGGAAAAUGUUAAUUAAUCAACAUGAUUCUCCUGGUGCUCAAGGGAAAAAGUCGAACUGCUUUAAAAGCAGCAUUUACUGCUUCAGGUUCAAAUCAGAGAGAAGGAGAAUCACUUUUGGAUGGCUUUCCAUCAAUCCUGGAUUGCUGCUUAUCUCUAGAAUGGACACAGCUGAUUAUCUCUAGAAUGGACACAGCUGUGGGAAGAGUUCAGGUCAGGGCAGGUGUGCAACUUUUUAGCUUUCUCUGGGUCAGUUUGAAUACAGUAAUUUCUCUGAAGAAUUGUGCAGUCUUAGAACUUGCUACCCCCAGGUAGUAAUUUCUGGAUUAAUGAUCAUUUUGAAAUAAAGCUGCUACUGAUAUUCCUUCA
This 678-nucleotide long non-coding RNA is filed under the name Macaca mulatta (Rhesus monkey). Its description in RNAcentral is "lncRNA (ENSMMUG00000051449.1)". Lineage: Eukaryota; Metazoa; Chordata; Mammalia; Primates; Cercopithecidae. The record is from RNAcentral.